CUCUGACACAUCAUAAUCUUCAAUGGUGACCAUAUCUUGUAUUGUCUGCAGGGUAGCCUCUGUUGUUUUCUUAACCUGGUAUUAAAAAGCAGAGUUUGCCAAAUGGCAGAUAAAUAUAUACAGGAACAGCUUAGGAGGGAAGCUCAUUACUCACAGUAACUCCCUGGCACACGCCCCCAAACAAACAGGGAUCUGGAUCUAGCCAGAACAACAUGAUCUUCCAAGGAAAAAAAUCUGUGACCCUGUACUGUGCAGUGCUGUGGUGAGGAGCACAGUGAUGUUCAGAUUGCAGAAAUGGAAUACAUUGUUGACAGAGAGGGCUCGAGAAAGAACAAUUUACACCAGACUCCCAGCCCUCCUAUGACCUACAGAGCACCACUGCCCAUAGUGGAAACCUGGGCAUGGAUGCUGUGGACAGGACAAGGGAUGCAGUUUCCACAGUUCAAUAAAGUAACUGGUAAGAUUCACAA
Passer domesticus (house sparrow) is the source of this 470-nucleotide long non-coding RNA. RefSeq lists it as uncharacterized. The record is from RefSeq and is a predicted model, not a curated record. NCBI's taxonomy places the organism in Eukaryota, Metazoa, Chordata, Aves, Passeriformes, Passeridae. The transcript is spliced from 2 exons.